UGUAAUGUAAAUACGACUAUC
RNAcentral lists this non-coding RNA (21 nucleotides) under Caenorhabditis elegans. The record is from RNAcentral. Lineage: Eukaryota; Metazoa; Nematoda; Chromadorea; Rhabditida; Rhabditidae.